UUUUUCUUAUUUUUCAAAAGGAUGAUGUUGACCUGUUUUAAGGGGGUGGAGGCAGAGUCAGCGGAUGGAUGGCUGUAUGGCUGCAGGAAGAUUUUCUCCUGGGUGUAGUUGUUUGGCUAUUUAAAUUCCAAGUCUUCUGGGGGUCAGAUGAUAUUGCUGCUCUCUUUAAUGACCUUCAUUAAGAGCAAUGGACAGGUUUAAUCUGAAGGUUAAAUAAUAAGUGUAUUUUUCAAAUUUAUUUGUAAAAUAAAAGAUAAACCUUGGUUCAUUUUAAUGUUUUCAAUAGAACUUUUCACCACA
Molecule: long non-coding RNA, 300 nt
Organism: Stomoxys calcitrans (stable fly)
Lineage: Eukaryota; Metazoa; Arthropoda; Insecta; Diptera; Muscidae
Exons: 2
Source: RefSeq, a predicted model, not a curated record